RNAcentral lists this ribosomal RNA (552 nucleotides) under uncultured Acidobacteriota bacterium. RNAcentral's name for it is "bacterial SSU rRNA". It matches the Rfam family "Bacterial small subunit ribosomal RNA", at positions 355 to 897 of the family's 1533-position model. Lineage: Bacteria; Pseudomonadati; Acidobacteriota. The record is from RNAcentral.
UGGGGAAUUGUUCGCAAUGGGCGCAAGCCUGACGACGCAACGCCGCGUGGAGGAUGAAGAUCUUCGGGUCGUAAACUCCUUUCGAUCGAGACGAAUUCCUUCGGAGUAAACAAUUCCGGAGGUUGACGGUACCGAGAGAAGAAGCCCCGGCUAACUCCGUGCCAGCAGCCGCGGUAAUACGGGGGGGGCAAGCGUUGUUCGGAAUUACUGGGCGUAAAGGGCUCGUAGGCGGCCAACUAAGUCAGACGUGAAAUCCCUCGGCUUAACCGGGGAACUGCGUCUGAUACUGGAUGGCUGGAGUUUGGGAGAGGGAUGCGGAAUUCCAGGUGUAGCGGUGAAAUGCGUAGAUAUCUGGAGGAACACCGGUGGCGAAGGCGGCAUCCUGGACCAACACUGACGCUGAGGAGCGAAAGCCAGGGGAGCAAACGGGAUUAGAUACCCCGGUAGUCCUGGCCCUAAACGAUGAAUGCUUGGUGUGACGGGUAUCGAUCCCUGUCGUGCCGAAGCUAACGCAUUAAGCAUUCCGCCUGGGGAGUACGGUCGCAAGGCUGA